This 106-nucleotide ribosomal RNA is filed under the name Reuteroscopus ornatus. Its description in RNAcentral is "partial 16S ribosomal RNA". Lineage: Eukaryota; Metazoa; Arthropoda; Insecta; Hemiptera; Miridae. The record is from RNAcentral.
UUUCAGACCGGCGUGAGCCAGGUCGGUUUCUAUCCUUAGUUACUUUUAAAAACUUAGUACGAAAGGACCAGUUUUUGGGAAUAUUUUUUAUGGAUUUGAUUUAUAU